This is an RNA transcript of Asparagus officinalis (garden asparagus), 1980 nucleotides long. RefSeq lists it as uncharacterized. The record is from RefSeq and is a predicted model, not a curated record. The transcript is spliced from 3 exons. NCBI's taxonomy places the organism in Eukaryota, Viridiplantae, Streptophyta, Magnoliopsida, Asparagales, Asparagaceae.
GGAGAGGUGAACAUUCCAACAAACAAGCAAAUGGCCUUCUUUGAAAACUCUAGCGGAGGUUUUCAUAGAAUUGGAUGCAUUGAGACCGAUGUGAGAAAUUAUGAAAGAGAUUUGAGAGAGGAGAGGCGCGGUCAUGAUGCACAAAUGAUGUUGGAUCAUUUCAAGUCGGAACAAGAGAAGAAUCCUUCAUUUUAUUAUGUUUAUGAAGUUGAUGAAGAGAAGCGCUUAACUCAUUGUUUUUGGGUGGAUGGCAUUGCUCGAAUGAAUUAUCAACACUUUGGCGAUGUUGUCUCCUUCGAUGCCACGCAUAACACAAAUCAAUAUGGCUUGGUAUUUGUGCCGUUUGUAGGCAUAAAUCACCAUUGGCAAAGUGUUUUUUUAGGAUGUGGCUUGAUCCCAAACGAAGAGGCGAAGUCUUUUGUAUGGUUGUUUAACAAAUGGAUUGAAGCAAUGGGUCAUCCUCCUUCGGGCAUGAUUACAGAUCAAUGUCUUGGCAUAUGCAAGGCAAUUGAAACAGUUUUUCCAGAAAUUCGGCAUAGGUUUUGCAUUUGGCAUAUCUUGGACAAAGUUCCGGAGAAGUUGGGUCAAUUGGCUUAUAGAACGGAAUUUAUGAAAUCUUUCAAAGAAAAUAUUUGGGACUCCGACGAUGCUAGCUCUUUUGAAGAGAAAUGGGUUUCAAUUAUUAAGAAAAAUGGAUUGGAAAAGCAUGAUUGGCUAAAUGAUAUCUAUGAAAUUCGUGAAAAAUGGGCUCCCGUUUAUCAUAAACAAUACUUUUGGGCCGGAAUGUCUAGCAGUCAAAGAAGUGAAGGGAUGAAUGCAUUGCUAAAAAUGCAUGUAUCAAGGAAAAAUUCACUUCAUGAUUUCGUGACUAUAUUUCAGAGGGUCUUGGCGAGACAAAGAGAGGGGGAGCUUAAAGAAGAUCAUUGCACAGUAGAGAAAAAGCCAAAAUUAAAGACUUUAUGGUCAAUGGAAAAACAAAUGGCCCAAAUCUACACGAAAAAAAUCUUUUAUAUUUUUCAAGACGAGCUUCAACCUAGCUUAAUGUAUAACAUUGAGCUAGUAAAAGAAAAUGAAAGAGAAAGUACUUUCCAAUUAAAUUUUUGUGGUCAUGAUGAAAGAUUGAGACAUAUUAUAUAUUGCAAAACAACUAAAAUGGUCCGUUGUUCGUGUCUCAUGUUUGAAUUCAAGGGCAUUCCAUGCCGACAUAUCUUGGCAUAUCUUAAACUUACCAAUCAUAGUGAGUUACCGGAAUAAUAUAUUCUAAGAAGAUGGUGCCGAAAUGUCAGAAAAAGGGUUGUUCUUAGAGAUGGUAAUAUUAUUGGAGAUAAUGCCACAAUUAAUUUUGCUUCUCGUUUUAGUGAACUAAAUUGCUUAGCUAAUGAAAUGGUCGAAGAGGGGCUAUCUUCUAAUGAUGCAUAUGAAUUAAUGCGUGAAAUGAUGAUGGAUGCUAUUAAUAAGGUGCAACGUUUGAAACUCAUCAAUGAUGAAGAAAUUGGACAAGAUGUGGAUGCGGAGUGUUCUCAAGAUAUAGUUCAUGAACCAAGUCAAGCAAGAACAAAAGGAAGGCCUAAAGGGAAGAGGUUAAAGCCAUCGAGAGAGAUCCGCAGAUACCGGCCUAGGAAAUGCAAAUUGUGUGGAAAGCGAGGACAAAAUCAUGAUAGCAGAAAUUGCCCUCUAAAGUUGUCAAGUGAUUCAAUGGAACGAGAUAACAUUGAUGAAGCCACGGAUGAUUUAGAAGAUUCAUUUGAGGAAGAUGAAGUUCUCACUAUUGUGUGAAGUUUAAUCAAGGUUGGCAGAGCAAAUCAUAUCACUAUUGGUGAGAAGGGGUUGAUGAAGGCAGAGCACCAAUGGGUUUAGUUUUGUAUCUUUGGUUAUGUAUUUGUGUGGUACCCCAAGUGAAUGAUGUUUCAUCUUUUGUUUAAUUGUUAAGUCCAUUUCAUUGUUUAAUAGUGAAUGAUGUUUCAUCUUUUGGUGGUUCUG